RNAcentral lists this unclassified non-coding RNA (584 nucleotides) under Hevea brasiliensis (rubber tree). Lineage: Eukaryota; Viridiplantae; Streptophyta; Magnoliopsida; Malpighiales; Euphorbiaceae. The record is from RNAcentral.
UUCAAUUUCUUUAUCAUCAUAGUCCACCCCACCAUAUUCUUCAGCUUCAUAUUCAGGUUCGUUAUCAUCAAGCUCCAACCGCUCAUCUUUUUCAUACUCAUCAACAGAUUCCUUAACAUCUUCCCCUUUUUUCAAAGAAGCCGAGCCGUUGACGUCUAAUUUGGCUCCACCUUCACCUUCUACAACUGGCCUUUCUUCUGUAAUUGGCUUGUUCUCAAAAAGCUGUUUCUCCUCCACAGGAGGCUUUUCAUCAACGACCGGCCUUUCCUCUGUUUUUGGCGUCUCUUCUGCAACUUCCGGUUGCUGAUUUUGUCCCUUGGCUGCCCCUCUCGAGGCUCUAAGGGCCCUCUUCGACCCAGCUGCCGCUCCUCCUCUCUUCACAGUCCGUGGAGGCAUUGUUUCAGAUCGUCAAAACAGCACCAAGUGCUUGUUAAAACCCCUGAUUGAUAUACUCAAAUCGAAUAAACAACUCUAAAUUCAUAAAUAUCCCACAGAAACGGUGAACGCAAAAAUAAAACCUAAAAUUGACCUCACCACAGAAACCCUAAAUUCCACAGCUGAAACGCAAAGAAUAAAAAACCCUG